RNAcentral lists this ribosomal RNA (266 nucleotides) under uncultured bacterium. RNAcentral's name for it is "partial 16S ribosomal RNA". It matches the Rfam family "Bacterial small subunit ribosomal RNA", at positions 88 to 354 of the family's 1533-position model. The record is from RNAcentral.
UGGGUUAGUGGCGGACGGGUGAGUAACGCGUGGGUAACCUGCCUUACACAGGGGGAUAACACUUAGAAAUAGGUGCUAAAACCGCAUAAGCGCACAGCUUCGCAUGAAGCGGUGUGAAAAACUCCGGUGGUGUAAGAUGGACCCGCGUCUGAUUAGCUUGUUGGCGGGGUAACGGCCCACCAAGGCGACGAUCAGUAGCCGGCCUGAGAGGGCGGACGGCCACAUUGGGACUGAGACACGGUCCAAACUCCUACGGGAGGCAGCAG